Molecule: ribosomal RNA, 227 nt
Filed under: uncultured bacterium
Lineage: Bacteria
Description: partial 16S ribosomal RNA
Rfam family: Bacterial small subunit ribosomal RNA
Source: RNAcentral
CUAAAAACGACAGUCUCAUUCGGAUCGCAGGCUGCAACUCGCCUGCGUGAAGUUGGAAUUGCUAGUAAUCGCGGAUCAGCAUGCCGCGGUGAAUACGUUCCCGGGCCUUGUACACACCGCCCGUCACACCAUGGGAGUUUGUAACACCCGAAGUCAGUAUCCUAACCGCAAGGGGGGAGCUGCCGAAGGUGGGAUAAGCGACUGGGGUGAAGUCGUAACAAGGUAGC